GUGCUCACUUCGGCAGCACAUAUACUAAAAUUGGAGCGAUACAGAGAAGAUUAGUAUGGCCCCUGCGCAAGGAUGACACGCAAAUUCAUGAAGCGUUCCAUAUCUUU
This 107-nucleotide small nuclear RNA is filed under the name Propithecus coquereli (Coquerel's sifaka). The record is from RNAcentral. Lineage: Eukaryota; Metazoa; Chordata; Mammalia; Primates; Indriidae.